AAGUUCGUUGCUUGUUAUUUAAAAAUAAGAUCUCUUGGCUUUACUCUCAUUAUAUUGGUCCAAUUGACCAUGGUCGAGAGCAUAUUCAUCCUAAAAGUUAAGUCAUUGGAGUAAUCUCACGACUUAUCACAGUUUGAGUAUUUCCCAUAUAGCCAAGUCGAAUGAAUAUAUGAUGACACGACCCGUCCCAAAUCACCCUAUGAACCCAAAACGCGACGUGCGCCGAUAGUAAAUACUGACUAGAUGCCAGAUCCACCACUAAGGUUGACUAUGAGUUAUUACAAAAUAUGAGACAAAAUCAAAUGUUUAAAUAAAUAAAUAUUGCAAUGGGCUCACAGUAAUUACUUCAUGUUUUAUCAAAUUGACUCAUGUCAUUCAAUAUGUCGUGUGGCUCCAACUCUAGAAUCACUAGGCUUCUCAACCCAUCAAGGACUAGUACAAUACUACCUGUAAGAAUAAUUUUAGAAAAAUAUAAGUUGAUAGCUUAGUGAGUAGAAGAGUUCAAAAAUAAUUAUACUUUCUCCUUUAAACAUUUUACCAAAUAUCAAGUUCAUAUCGUUUAAUAUUCACAUGAUAAACUCAUACAAUGAUAGCAAAAAAGUAAGACAUUCUUAUAACACUGUAAAUAUCAUCUCAUAAUCAUGAUAUAGUCUUCAGCUGAUAUCUAUACCAUCAUCUCAUUACAUCACAUGUGAUCCACCAAAAAUAUACCAUUUUACUAAAAUCUGAAAUUCCGCCCCUCAGGCCAAACACUUUUGUCACGGGCCUCUAGCCCUCUCCUGAAUGAAAGUGGGUCUCAUUAACUCUGGUAAUCAAUUUUAGAACAUGGUCAAGGCCCCUCAGUGAAUUAUAUGUACACGGUCACGACCCCUCAUCCCUAGUCAACCCCUUAGUGUAGUAUAGAAUACGGCCAAGGUGUCUUAGUGAAUUAGAAAAAAAUAUAUAAUCAUGGGUACUUUUCAGGUCGAUCUUAAUAUUACAUGUCUCACAUACCAAACACAAAUGUGUCAUAAAUGAUCUUUGAGAUUCCAAAUGUAUCAUAGUAAAAGAAAUUUUCAUAAUAAUCAUAUAAUCGCACACAUAAUUGCAUAUAAUUGCACGUACUUUGAUAAUAUACUUAAUUUAUAAAUACUUUAAAAAUAUUCAUAUUUUUUCACUCACAGAUCUAUGGACAGAAAUCUGGCUAAAUUGACGAAUCUUUCCAAACUUUCACAUCACUACCUGAAAUAACGGUAUAAUUACUCAAAUUAAAACUUGACAAUUAAAUUAAUACAUUCCACCACUUAACCCCUCAACUUCUAUAUUUACUCUUACAUCUCCAAUUCCCCAACUUUCAUUCUGUUUAUUAUUCAUCAACUAAACACCAUGCAUUAUCAAAUCCGUUAAAUUACUCAUACUUCCUUAAAAUCAAGAACUUAUACAUAUACAAGCCCUAUACAUAAUUUAUUUCAAUACAUAAACCUCAAUACUUGUCAUAUAACUUCAUUCAAGCCUUUAAAAAUAUGAAAAUAAGAGUUUUGACAAAAAAGUACUAAAAUGCCAUAAUAUUGAAAUCUGGCAGCAAAACCUUUGACAGAAUUAGCACUAUUCUGGGCAGAUUUUCAGAGGAACACCUAUGUGAGAUUUUGUCCAAAAAUUGCUUAUAAUAAUUACUUAAAAGGGAGAAAUCAACCUCAAUUCCUUAAUUUAAAUGCUUGACAUCAUAUAACCCCAAGAAAAUCAUUGAAUAAAUAUCUAUUUCAUAAACCCUAAAGAUUUCAUUAAAAUAUUUUCACUCACCUAUUGAAUACAAAGAGGAAUUGAGAAUACAAACUUGAAAAAUGGGCGGCUGCCUCUUCUUUCCUUUUUUUUCCCCUUUCUCCGUCUCUAGUCGUUCUCCCCUAUUCUUUGCGUAUUUUGG
RNAcentral lists this long non-coding RNA (1900 nucleotides) under Olea europaea (common olive). Its description in RNAcentral is "long non-coding RNA (OEUR_LNC013864)". Lineage: Eukaryota; Viridiplantae; Streptophyta; Magnoliopsida; Lamiales; Oleaceae. The record is from RNAcentral.